UCGGGGUCCCUGCGCAUGCGUAGAGCUGAGUCUCCGUCCUAGCUCCUGCGAAUUCCGUCAGUGCCAAAGCUGAGGGCUUCAUGGAGCCCUCUGAAGAUCACUGCAGGCCCCUCGGAGAGGGACAGAGGGACACUGAUGAAAGUGCAGACUGUGCUGUGGUUCCACUCAGCAGGACGAAUGUGUGAUGAGACUGGGAAGGGUCCCCAAGACACCCAUGUUCAGGGCCUGGCCCGGCUGGACCUCAGGUUUGUGUGGCAUGCUUACUGGAGUGCACAGAAAUGUCAGUGACUUAAACUGCUUCCUGACCUCUGAAUGUACACCUCUACCUUCCUGCCCCCCUGGACCCAUCUAGAGCCCUACGUCUAGAGCCUUAGGCCUGACAGCCAAUAUCCACUGCCGUGGUCACCAAUGGCUGAUGAAGAGACAGCGCCCUGCUACCCUCUGUGCAUGGCGCUCGGUUUAGGCCCAGGCAUCCUGAGCUUCCUGGACAGUAAAUAAGAAAGUGCUAGUUUGUGUAUUGGGAUCUUUUUAUUUUUCAGUAUUGGGUAUUGAACUCAGGACCCUUGCAUUGAACUCCAUUCCUAGACCCCCC
Molecule: long non-coding RNA, 592 nt
Filed under: Fukomys damarensis (Damara mole-rat)
Lineage: Eukaryota; Metazoa; Chordata; Mammalia; Rodentia; Bathyergidae
Description: lncRNA (ENSFDAG00000025063.1)
Source: RNAcentral